UGUAUAAUGGGUCAGCGACUUAUAUUCUGUAGCAAGGUUAACCGAAUAGGGGAGCCGAAGGGAAACCGAGUCUUAACUGGGCGUUAAGUUGCAGGGUAUAGACCCGAAACCCGGUGAUCUAGCCAUGGGCAGGUUGAAGGUUGGGUAACACUAACUGGAGGACCGAACCGACUAAUGUUGAAAAAUUAGCGGAUGACUUGUGGCUGGGGGUGAAAGGCCAAUCAAACCGGGAGAUAGCUGGUUCUCCCCGAAAGCUAUUUAGGUAGCGCCUCGUGAAUUCAUCUCCGGGGGUAGAGCACUGUUUCGGCAAGGGGGUCAUCCCGACUUACCAACCCGAUGCAAACUGCGAAUACCGGAGAAUGUUAUCACGGGAGACACACGGCGGGUGCUAACGUCCGUCGUGAAGAGGGAAACAACCCAGACCGCCAGCUAAGGUCCCAAAGUCAUGGUUAAGUGGGAAACGAUGUGGGAAGGCCCAGACAGCCAGGAUGUUGGCUUAGAAGCAGCCAUCAUUUAAAGAAAGCGUAAUAGCUCACUGGUCGAGUCGGCCUGCGCGGAAGAUGUAACGGGGCUAAACCAUGCACCGAAGCUGCGGCAGCGACGCUUAUGCGUUGUUGGGUAGGGGAGCGUUCUGUAAGCCUGUGAAGGUGUGCUGUGAGGCAUGCUGGAGGUAUCAGAAGUGCGAAUGCUGACAUAAGUAACGAUAAAGCGGGUGAAAAGCCCGCUCGCCGGAAGACCAAGGGUUCCUGUCCAACGUUAAUCGGGGCAGGGUGAGUCGACCCCUAAGGCGAGGCCGAAAGGCGUAGUCGAUGGGAAACAGGUUAAUAUUCCUGUACUUGGUGUUACUGCGAAGGGGGGACGGAGAAGGCUAUGUUGGCCGGGCGACGGUUGUCCCGGUUUAAGCGUGUAGGCUGGUUUUCCAGGCAAAUCCGGAAAAUCAAGGCUGAGGCGUGAUGACGAGGCACUACGGUGCUGAAGCAACAAAUGCCCUGCUUCCAGGAAAAGCCUCUAAGCAUCAGGUAACAUCAAAUCGUACCCCAAACCGACACAGGUGGUCAGGUAGAGAAUACCAAGGCGCUUGAGAGAACUCGGGUGAAGGAACUAGGCAAAAUGGUGCCGUAACUUCGGGAGAAGG
Molecule: ribosomal RNA, 1135 nt
Filed under: Escherichia coli
Lineage: Bacteria; Pseudomonadati; Pseudomonadota; Gammaproteobacteria; Enterobacterales; Enterobacteriaceae
Description: partial 23S ribosomal RNA
Rfam family: Bacterial large subunit ribosomal RNA
Source: RNAcentral